Molecule: ribosomal RNA, 435 nt
Filed under: uncultured bacterium
Lineage: Bacteria
Description: partial 16S ribosomal RNA
Rfam family: Bacterial small subunit ribosomal RNA
Source: RNAcentral
GAUGAACGCUGGCGGUAUGCUUAACACAUGCAAGUCGAACGGACUCUUCGGAGUUAGUGGCGGACGGGUGAGUAACGCGUGAGAAUCUGGCUUUGGGUUCGGGACAACCACUGGAAACGGUGGCUAAUACCGGAUGUGCCGAGAGGUAAAAGAGAAAUUGCCUGAAGAUGAGCUCGCGUCUGAUUAGCUAGUUGGUGAGGUAAAGGCUCACCAAGGCAGCGAUCAGUAGCUGGUCUGAGAGGAUGACCAGCCACACUGGGACUGAGACACGGCCCAGACUCCUACGGGAGGCAGCAGUGGGGAAUUUUCCGCAAUGGGCGAAAGCCUGACGGAGCAAUACCGCGUGAGGGAAGAAGGCUCUUGGGUUGUAAACCCCUUUUCUUAGGGAAGAACAAAAUGACGGUACCUAAGGAAUCAGCAUCGGCUAACUCCGUG